CCUACGGGUGGCAGCAGUCGAGAAUUAUUCACAAUGGGGGAAACCCUGAUGGUGCGACGCCGCGUGGGGGAAUGAAGGUCUUCGGAUUGUAAACCCCUGUCAUGUGGGAGCAAAUUAAAAAGAUAGUACCACAAGUGGAAGAGACGGCUAACUCUGUGCCCGCAGCCGCGGUAAUACAGAGGUCUCAAGCGUUGUUCGGAAUCACUGGGCGUAAAGGGUGCGUAGGCUGUUUCGUAAAUCGUGUGUGAAAGGCGCGGGCUCAACCCGCGGACGGCAUAUGAUACUGCGGGACUAGAGUAAAGGAGGGGGAACCGGAAUUCUAGGUGUAGCAGUGAAAUGCGUAGAUAUCGGGAGGAACACUCGUGGCGAAGGCGGGUUCCUGGACAUUAACUGACGCUGAGGCACGAAGGCCAGGGGAGCGAAAGGGAUUAGAUACCCCAGUAGUC
Molecule: ribosomal RNA, 446 nt
Filed under: uncultured bacterium
Lineage: Bacteria
Description: partial 16S ribosomal RNA
Rfam family: Bacterial small subunit ribosomal RNA
Source: RNAcentral